ACGAAGCCACAAUUCGCCUAAGAAAAAGAAAUAAAAAGGAAAAUAAACAAUUCGUAGGGUCUGGCCGAAAACCCACCCUUACUGAAGCAACUGAAUCGGAAUUAGCUGAAGUAAUCCGCGUCCUAUGCUGCCUCGGAUUUAGUCCUACACGAGACCAAGUCAAAAAUCUUGUCAAAGAAUAUGUGGAGGCAAGAAAAAUGAAAACCCCUUUCGCUGAAAACCGCCCUGGGAAGGAAUGGCUAAGAUUGUUUAUGGAACGAAACAUGCUUUCCCUAAAAAAAGGCAACAAUGAUCUGCAGUGCGCGUAAGGCCGUGACAGCAAAUCCUUUCGUUGUGCAUGACUUUUACGACAUGCUUGAAAAAAUCGUUAAAGAAAAAAAAUUUCCACCCAACCAAAUCUGGAACUGUGACGAAUCUGGAUUUCCAACAGAUCCGAAAAGGUGCAAAGUGGUCAGCAAAAGUGGCGAAGUCGCAUAUCGAGUAACACCAGGUGCUGGUCGGGAAAAUACAACAACCUUAGCUGCUGUGAACGCAGCUGGACAAGCAUUACCACCACUUGUUGUUUUCCCAGGAAAAAAUCAUCAGGAGUCUUGGUUCUCACCUGAAAGUAAGUCCCACACAGUAAAUACAAUUCUUAAUUGUCACCCAAUCUUCUGCUCCCCUUUCCCUCCUACACUAUUUUUUAUGUAUCCGCUGUCUAAAACAUUAUUUGGAUCUUGUUAGGUAUGCCAGGUACACUGUAUGGUUGCUCAGAUAAUGGUUGGAUGACCACUGAUGUGUUUGGCGAAGGGUUUAAACACUUUUGCAGAGUAGUAACAGAUCGGCCACUUUUGCUUCUCUUUGACGGCCAUUUGUUGCAUGUCUCUGCCAGUCUUAUCUUAAAAGCCAUGGAGGAAGAUGUGACAAUCAUGAAAUUUCCACCGCAUGUGACAGAUCUUCUACAACCGUUAGAUGUAGCAUGUUUUGGUCCCCUGAAGAGAGAAUGGGAACGUGUCUUAAAUGAAUGGUGUGUUUCUUACGGUGGUAAGCGUCCUCUUCGAAAAGCUGACUUUGUGGAGAAACUUGGACAGUGUUGACAAACCGCACUUACUGAAGAUAACAUAAAAGCAGGAUUUAGACGAACAGGUAUAUUUCCGAUCGACAGAACGAAGUACCCGGAGAAAAGAUUUGACCCACGGUUACUUAAAAGAUAUAAAAAGAUGGUGCGAAAUGGGAAAACCAGAGGACGUUAUGGAAGAACUUGCUCGCGCUUCAAAUACGCCGAAAAAAAUAAAAGAGCCAACGAAUGUAAAUGCGGCGACAACGCCAACGCAAUCAAUCGACACCACACAAUCGCCGCUUCUUGCUAACGCUUCUUCAGCAUCCUUUAUUGACGCUCCUUCAACUGCAAGCACCAAUCAAUCGACGCCAAUACUUCGUAUACAGGAACCAUGCGGGAUAUUUCACUUUUUAAGGUCCACGAUGUAA
Molecule: RNA transcript, 1467 nt
Organism: Hydractinia symbiolongicarpus
Lineage: Eukaryota; Metazoa; Cnidaria; Hydrozoa; Anthoathecata; Hydractiniidae
Exons: 2
Source: RefSeq, a predicted model, not a curated record